This 404-nucleotide ribosomal RNA is filed under the name uncultured Clostridium sp. RNAcentral's name for it is "bacterial SSU rRNA". It matches the Rfam family "Bacterial small subunit ribosomal RNA", at positions 105 to 525 of the family's 1533-position model. The record is from RNAcentral. Lineage: Bacteria; Bacillati; Bacillota; Clostridia; Eubacteriales; Clostridiaceae.
GGUGAGUAACGCGUGGGUGACCUGCCCCAAAGUGUGGGAUAACAGUCCGAAAGGAUUGCUAAUACCUCAUGUGGUCUUCGGAUUUAGAAACUGAUGACUAAAGGAGUGAUCCGCUUUGGGAGGGACCUGCGUCCCAUCAGCUAGUUGGUGAGGUAAUGGCUCACCAAGGCGACGACGGGUAGGGGACCUGAGAGGGUGGCCCCCCACAAUGGAACUGAAACACGGUCCAUACACCUACGGGUGGCAGCAGUAGGGAAUAUUGCACAAUGGGCGAAAGCCUGAUGCAGCAACGCCGCGUGCGCGAUGAAGGCCUUCGGGUCGUAAAGCGCUUUUCUGAGAGACGAGACAGGACGGUAUCUCAGGAAUAAGUCUCGGCUAACUACGUGCCAGCAGCCGCGGUAAAA